CCUACGGGCGGCAGCAGUGGGGAAUAUUGGACAAUGGGGGGAACCCUGAUCCAGCCAUGCCGCGUGUGUGGAGAAGGCCCUCGGGUUGUAAAGCACUUUCAGUGAGGAAGAACGCCUGGUGGUUAAUACCCAUCAGGAAAGACAUCACUCACAGAAGAAGCACCGGCUAACUCCGUGCCAGCAGCCGCGGUAAUACGGAGGGUGCGAGCGUUAAUCGGAAUUACUGGGCGUAAAGCGCGCGUAGGUGGCUUGAUAAGCCGGUUGUGAAAGCCCCGGGCUCAACCUGGGAACGGCAUCCGGAACUGUCAAGCUAGAGUGCAGGAGAGGAAGGUAGAAUUCCCGGUGUAGCGGUGAAAUGCGUAGAGAUCGGGAGGAAUACCAGUGGCGAAGGCGGCCUUCUGGACUGACACUGACACUGAGGUGCGAAAGCGUGGGUAGCAAACAGGAUUAGAUACCCGUGUAGUC
Molecule: ribosomal RNA, 465 nt
Filed under: Vreelandella stevensii
Lineage: Bacteria; Pseudomonadati; Pseudomonadota; Gammaproteobacteria; Oceanospirillales; Halomonadaceae
Description: partial 16S ribosomal RNA
Rfam family: Bacterial small subunit ribosomal RNA
Source: RNAcentral